RNAcentral lists this ribosomal RNA (434 nucleotides) under uncultured Lachnospiraceae bacterium. Its description in RNAcentral is "partial 16S ribosomal RNA". It matches the Rfam family "Bacterial small subunit ribosomal RNA", at positions 341 to 792 of the family's 1533-position model. The record is from RNAcentral. Lineage: Bacteria; Bacillati; Bacillota; Clostridia; Lachnospirales; Lachnospiraceae.
ACGGGAGGCAGCAGUGGGGGAUAUUGCACAAUGGGGGAAACCCUGAUGCAGCGACGCCGCGUGAGCGAAGAAGUAUUUCGGUAUGUAAAGCUCUAUCAGCAGGGAAGAAAAUGACGGUACCUGACUAAGAAGCCCCGGCUAACUCCGUGCCAGCAGCCGCGGUAAUACGGAGGAUGCAAGCGUUAUCCGGAUUUAUUGGGUUUAAAGGGUGCGUAGGCGGACGCGUAAGUCAGUGGUGAAAUAUGUCGGCUCAACCGGCAGGCUGCCAUUGAUACUGCGCGACUAGAGUCCAAACGGCGCCGGCGGAAUAUGUCAUGUAGCGGUGAAAUGCUUAGAUAUGACAUAGAACACCGAUCGCGAAGGCAGCUGGCGAGGAUGCGACUGACGCUGAGGCACGAAGGCGUGGGGAUCGAACAGGAUUAGAUACCCUGGUA